AUUAAUAUGUUGUUUAAGUAGAGAUUAAAACUUCAGUUUUUUAACAAUUAUCUCAUGGAUUCGUGGUAUAGAAAUUAUAAACUGUAAAAUAAAAAUAU
RNAcentral lists this small RNA (98 nucleotides) under Arabidopsis thaliana (thale cress). RNAcentral's name for it is "ATSL173520". The record is from RNAcentral. Lineage: Eukaryota; Viridiplantae; Streptophyta; Magnoliopsida; Brassicales; Brassicaceae.